Molecule: ribosomal RNA, 254 nt
Filed under: uncultured bacterium
Lineage: Bacteria
Description: partial 16S ribosomal RNA
Rfam family: Bacterial small subunit ribosomal RNA
Source: RNAcentral
UACGUAGGGGGCGAGCGUUGUCCGGAUUUAUUGGGCGUAAAGAGCUCGUAGGCGGCUUGGUAAGUCGGGUGUAAACCCUCCAGGCUCAACCUGGAGCCGCCACUCGAUACUGCCAUGGCUAGAGUCCGGUAGAGGGUCACGGAAUUCCUGGUGUAGCGGUGAAAUGCGCAGAUAUCAGGAGGAACACCGGUGGCGAGGGCGGUGGCCUGGGCCGGUACUGACGCUGAGGAGCGAAAGCGUGGGGAGCAAACAGG